Methylomonas denitrificans is the source of this 155-nucleotide non-coding RNA. The record is from Rfam. NCBI's taxonomy places the organism in Bacteria, Pseudomonadati, Pseudomonadota, Gammaproteobacteria, Methylococcales, Methylococcaceae.
CCUGCCAUUCCCUUGGCAGUAGCCUACCGCCACAUGCGGCCUUGGUAACAGGACGGUGUGAAGCUGGCGGAACAAUGUAACCCAUCCUCAAUAUGAGGUAAACCGAGCCCUCGAGGGGGAAGUGUAUCCGCUGCGAGCACAACGCGGAAGGGGGC